CCGGCGAUGUCCGAAUGGGGAAACCCAGUGCAAUUCGUUGCACUAUCGUUAACUGAAUACAUAGGUUAACGAGGCGAACCGGGGGAACUGAAACAUCUAAGUACCCCGAGGAAAAGAAAUCAACCGAGAUUCCCCCAGUAGCGGCGAGCGAACGGGGAGCAGCCCAGAGUCUGAAUCAGCUUGUGUGUUAGUGGAACGGUCUGGAAAGUCCGACGGUACAGGGUGAUAGUCCCGUACACCAAAAUGCACAGGCUGUGAACUCGAAGAGUAGGGCGGGACACGUGGUAUCCUGUCUGAAUAUGGGGGGACCAUCCUCCAAGGCUAAAUACUCCUGACUGACCGAUAGUGAACCAGUACCGUGAGGGAAAGGCGAAAAGAACCCCGGCGAGGGGAGUGAAAAAGAACCUGAAACCGUGUACGUACAAGCAGUGGGAGCACCUUCGGGUGUGACUGCGUACCUUUUGUAUAAUGGGUCAGCGACUUAUAUUCUGUAGCAAGGUUAACCGUAUAGGGGAGCCGCAGGGAAACCGAGUCUUAACUGGGCGUUAAGUUGCAGGGUAUAGACCCGAAACCCGGUGAUCUAGCCAUGGGCAGGUUGAAGGUUGGGUAACACUAACUGGAGGACCGAACCGACUAAUGUUGAAAAAUUAGCGGAUGACUUGUGGCUGGGGGUGAAAGGCCAAUCAAACCGGGAGAUAGCUGGUUCUCCCCGAAAGCUAUUUAGGUAGCGCCUCGUGAAUUCAUCUUCGGGGGUAGAGCACUGUUUCGGCUAGGGGGUCAUCCCGACUUACCAACCCGAUGCAAACUACGAAUACCGAAGAAUGUUAUCACGGGAGACACACGGCGGGUGCUAACGUCCGUCGUGAAGAGGGAAACAACCCAGACCGCCAGCUAAGGUCCCAAAGUCAUGGUUAAGUGGGAAACGAUGUGGGAAGGCACAGACAGCCAGGAUGUUGGCUUAGAAGCAGCCAUCAUUUAAAGAAAGCGUAAUAGCUCACUGGUCGAGUCGGCCUGCGCGGAAGAUGUAACGGGGCUAAACCAUGCACCGAAGCUGCGGCAGCGACACUAUGUGUUGUUGGGUAGGGGAGCGUUCUGUAAGCCUGCGAAGGUGUGCUGUGAGGCAUGCUGGAGGUAUCAGAAGUGCGAAUGCUGACAUAAGUAACGAUAAAGCGGGUGAAAAGCCCGCUCGCCGGAAGACCAAGGGUUCCUGUCCAACGUUAAUCGGGGCAGGGUGAGUCGACCCCUAAGGCGAGGCCGAAAGGCGUAGUCGAUGGGAAACAGGUUAAUAUUCCUGUACUUGGUGUUACUGCGAAGGGGGGACGGAGAAGGCUAUGUUAGCCGGGCGACGGUUGUCCCGGUUUAAGCAUGUAGGCUGAUUGUCCAGGCAAAUCCGGAUAAUCAAGGCUGAGGUGUGAUGACGAGGCACUACGGUGCUGAAGUAACAAAUGCCCUGCUUCCAGGAAAAGCCUCUAAGCAUCAGGUAACAUCAAAUCGUACCCCAAACCGACACAGGUGGUCAGGUAGAGAAUACCAAGGCGCUUGAGAGAACUCGGGUGAAGGAACUAGGCAAAAUGGUGCCGUAACUUCGGGAGAAGGCACGCUGGUGUGUAGGUGAAGUCCCUGCGGAUGGAGCUGAGACCAGUCGAAGAUACCAGCUGGCUGCAACUGUUUAUUAAAAACACAGCACUGUGCAAACACGAAAGUGGACGUAUACGGUGUGACGCCUGCCCGGUGCCGGAAGGUUAAUUGAUGGGGUUAUCCGUAAGGAGAAGCUCUUGAUCGAAGCCCCGGUAAACGGCGGCCGUAACUAUAACGGUCCUAAGGUAGCGAAAUUCCUUGUCGGGUAAGUUCCGACCUGCACGAAUGGCGUAAUGAUGGCCAGGCUGUCUCCACCCGAGACUCAGUGAAAUUGAACUCGCUGUGAAGAUGCAGUGUACCCGCGGCAAGACGGAAAGACCCCGUGAACCUUUACUAUAGCUUGACACUGAACAUUGAGCCUUGAUGUGUAGGAUAGGUGGGAGGCUUUGAAGCGUGGACGCCAGUCUGCGUGGAGCCAACCUUGAAAUACCACCCUUUAAUGUUUGAUGUUCUAACGUUGGCCCCUUACCGGGGUUGCGGACAGUGUCUGGUGGGUAGUUUGACUGGGGCGGUCUCCUCCCAAAGCGUAACGGAGGAGCACGAAGGUUAGCUAAUCCUGGUCGGACAUCAGGAGGUUAGUGCAAUGGCAUAAGCUAGCUUGACUGCGAGCGUGACGGCGCGAGCAGGUGCGAAAGCAGGUCAUAGUGAUCCGGUGGUUCUGAAUGGAAGGGCCAUCGCUCAACGGAUAAAAGGUACUCCGGGGAUAACAGGCUGAUACCGCCCAAGAGUUCAUAUCGACGGCGGUGUUUGGCACCUCGAUGUCGGCUCAUCACAUCCUGGGGCUGAAGUAGGUCCCAAGGGUAUGGCUGUUCGCCAUUUAAAGUGGUACGCGAGCUGGGUUUAGAACGUCGUGAGACAGUUCGGUCCCUAUCUGCCGUGGGCGCUGGAGAAUUGAGGGGGGCUGCUCCUAGUACGAGAGGACCGGAGUGGACGCAUCACUGGUGUUCGGGUUGUCAUGCCAAUGGCACUGCCCGGUAGCUAAAUGCGGAAGAGAUAAGUGCUGAAAGCAUCUAAGCACGAAACUUGCCCCGAGAUGAGUUCUCCCUGAGACUUUAAGUCUCCUGAAGGAACGUU
Molecule: ribosomal RNA, 2712 nt
Filed under: Klebsiella pneumoniae
Lineage: Bacteria; Pseudomonadati; Pseudomonadota; Gammaproteobacteria; Enterobacterales; Enterobacteriaceae
Description: bacterial LSU rRNA
Rfam family: Bacterial large subunit ribosomal RNA
Source: RNAcentral